Molecule: small RNA, 34 nt
Filed under: Bombyx mori (domestic silkworm)
Lineage: Eukaryota; Metazoa; Arthropoda; Insecta; Lepidoptera; Bombycidae
Description: ovarian small RNA-14716
Source: RNAcentral
CUGAAAAUGUAUUUAGUUACAAGACAGUAAGACA